ACCGUCCCAGUUCGGAUUGCAGGCUGCAACCCGCCUGCAUGAAGUUGGAAUCGCUAGUAAUCGCGGAUCAGCAUGCCGCGGUGAAUACGUUCCCGGGCCUUGUACACACCGCCCGUCACACCAUGAGAGUCGGGAACACCCGAAGUCCGUAGCCUAACCGCAAGGGGGCGCGGCCGAAGGUGGGUUCGAUAAUUGGGGUGAAGUCGUAACAAGGUAGC
Molecule: ribosomal RNA, 218 nt
Filed under: uncultured bacterium
Lineage: Bacteria
Description: partial 16S ribosomal RNA
Rfam family: Bacterial small subunit ribosomal RNA
Source: RNAcentral